Molecule: RNA transcript, 3134 nt
Organism: Manihot esculenta (cassava)
Lineage: Eukaryota; Viridiplantae; Streptophyta; Magnoliopsida; Malpighiales; Euphorbiaceae
Gene name: casein kinase 1-like protein 3
Exons: 16
Source: RefSeq, a predicted model, not a curated record
CUUCGAUGAAUCCACAGCCACGUCUGCUUAGCUCUCUAGGUCGUCUAUUACCGAGUCCUCUUUUUUUUGUGGUUUCAGUCUCUCUCGCCCCAAAGUCUCUUUCUGUUUCUCCUCAAAUCUCACUCCAAUUCCUACUUCCUCAUCAACAAUCCGCUCAUCAGUAGGUUAAUUGCUCAUGGAACGGAUCGUCGGUGGCAAGUACAAGCUCGGCCGGAAAAUCGGCAGUGGAUCCUUCGGUGAAAUCUUUCUCGCCACUCAUAUCGAUACUUUUGAGAUCGUUGCUGUUAAGAUCGAGAACAGUAAGACAAAGCACCCGCAAUUGCUUUACGAAGCAAAGUUGUAUAAUCUUCUUCAGGGUGGCAGUGGUAUUCCUAGCAUAAAAUGGUCCGGUGUUGAUGGGGAGGACAAUGUGCUGGUCCUUGAUUUACUGGGGCCGAGCUUGGAGGACCUGUUUGUGUACUGCGGGAGGAAGUUAUCGCUCAAGGCAGUGUUGAUGUUGGCUGAUCAAAUGAUUACAAGGAUAGAAUAUGUGCACUCUAGAGGGUUUCUGCAUAGAGACAUCAAACCUGAUAACUUUCUCAUGGGUCUUGGUCGUAAAGCAAAUCAGGUUUACAUAAUUGACUUUGGCCUUGCUAAAAGAUAUCGAGAUGCCGCAACCAAUCGCCAUAUUCCUUAUCGGGAGAAUAAAAACUUGACAGGAACUGCACGUUAUGCCAGUUGCAAUACUCACCUUGGAAUUGAGCAGAGCCGGCGGGAUGAUUUGGAGUCACUUGGCUAUGUACUGUUAUAUUUUCUUAGAGGAAGCCUUCCAUGGCAGGGUUUGAAAGCUGCCACAAAGAAACAGAAAUAUGACAAAAUUUGUGAAAAAAAAUUGUCAACGCCUAUUGAGGUUCUUUGCAAAUCUCAUCCAGUGGAGUUUGCUUCAUACCUACAUUAUUGUCACUCACUCACAUUUGAUCAGCGACCUGAUUAUGGAUUCUUGAAGCGCCUGUUUCGAGAUCUGUUUGCCCGUGAAGGAUAUGAAUUUGAUUAUGUAUUUGAUUGGACUAUCAUAAAAUAUCAGCAGGCACAAAAGAGUAGAAGUCAACCUCGCUCAUCUCCAGUUCCUGGAGCAAGUAGCAGUCAUGUGACUCAUGUGGCGCCAACAGAUAUGGAGAACCAUCAAGGAAGCAAUAUUGCUCCCCAUUCCUCUGACAUCAUGCGAUCUAGUGGUCCUGUGCGCAUGCAAUUAAAAUCAGCAGCGGGCAAGAAUUUGAGCUCUGAUAAUCAUGGCUACAAGAAUAUUGGAACUGAAGGACAUAUUCCCUCCACUUCAUUUUCGCUUGCUGGGGCCUCAAAAAGAAAUGCCCCAAAGCCUGUUUUUCCCACUGAAGCUGCAAACCCUGGUCAGGGACACAGCAGCAAAGCUGGUCCUUCAAAUAGCUGGAUUUCAUCAUUGCAACGCAUUCAUUCUGCAAAGUGAUUUGCAUGCUGCAAUCUGGUCAAGAAGAUACUAGUGAUACAUCUAUUGGAGGCAGCAAACCUUUGGUGACUGGUGUCAUGCUUUCAGCUAUUUAUCUGUUAAGAAGUUUCCAGUGUUGCAUUUAAAGGGAUCCAAUGUGCUUUGUUCCUUUGUGAAUAGCUGCUCACAUAAUUUUUUUCUUAAGUUCAUACUUGCAGGAUUCUUUUUCUCCCAACAGGGGGCUAUCAUGCAGGGAUGACAUUUGAAGGCCAUAGUACGUACAGUUUUGGAUUCUCAUUGCGGUAUUCUUGGAAGACACUACUAAUGCCAACUGGGGUACAAGGUGUUAAAAGAAUACUAAUUGUGAUGCCAGUCUUGUGUGGAUUCAGUAUUCUGCAGGGUGCUUAUAUUCUUGCAAUUAUUGUGCUGCAUACUUGAUUUAAAUGAGAGAUUGCAGAAUUGGUUAUUCUUAUCAAGUAGACGUUAGCCUGUGUAUUAUUUUGCCAAGAACUUGAGAUGUAAGAGUUACCAUUCAAGCUUGUUUGUCUGAUGAUGCUACAAAUUUCAAGUGAGUAACCUUACUUUGGUAAUCAUGAGAUUUCAAUUGCAGCUGCUUGUCAAAGUUGCUGGAUGGAGGAUGAGUAGUUGGAUAUUCCUUCGUUUAUUUGGAUUAUCAUGAGCAUACAAAGGAAACUACUUGCCAUUGAGUGUUAUUCUGCAGAUAUUUCUUAUUUCUGUUUGGGAGGGAUGUUAUAUCCAGCUUGGAUUACUUGGCGUGGUUUUUUGAAGAGAUCUUCAGGUACAAGUUUUUUCAGGGAACUGAAAUUAUUGGACUUCAGUUCAGAAUAGAUGACAGUCUGGGAUAUCUCUCAGCUUUGCGGUUGAAUGGUAGUUUACAUCUCGAAUUCUGUUGAGACUUUCAGGCAGUUCUUAUGUUUGGUGUGAUGGUUAUUGAUCAGAGGUGAUUAGCGUUGACUUUGAAUCCUUAGUUUGAAUGUUAUGGUAGUGCUGUAUUUGAGGAUAACUUGCAGACUUAUCAGUAGUCUGACGUCAUUUUUCAACUUAUUACCGUGGGAUUUGAUUAUGUCAGGCUGCUGUAUGGUUCAGCAUGAUGAUCUCUCCUUGGAAAUUUUAGCUGCUCUAUUACGAAAUGUUAUGGUGGUAACAGUUUUUAAAUAUUUCAAAACUUAAUUGGUUAAUGGCAUUAAUCUGUACUCUCUUCGCAGUCACAGGCGAGGGUACUGCAACGUUUUGGAUGGUUAAUGGCUCCUAAAGUAAUGCUGCCAAUAAUAUUCUGCAUCUCUUGUAUCCAUUCAUGCUCUUCUACAGAUAACUUGGUUUACUUUUACUUUCUUUGGAUCAGUUUCUUCUUGUUGGUUGUUAUAUUAGCUACUGUGAUUCUCAGGUGUGUUUGAUCUAGUUGGAAAGACGGUAGCCGGGAAACUAGGGAUUUGACUAAUUAUUGUGUGCGUUUGCUUAUGCGUGAGAGAAUAAGAGGUGGAAAUUCUGUAAAACAGCAUGGAGAUGAUUUUCAAUUGCUUGGAGAUGAUUUUCCACCAGGAAAACUAGGGAUCUAAUGUGUGCUGGUGCAGGAUUGCAAUCUGUUUGCUGAAGGGCUGAGUAUUGCCAUUUGUAAUUUGGAGUUCUUAUGACCAAUGGAGCAUGCAUUUGAUAUACAACUUCAAGUUUAUAA